Molecule: unclassified non-coding RNA, 200 nt
Filed under: soil metagenome
Description: partial contains internal transcribed spacer 2 and large subunit ribosomal RNA
Source: RNAcentral
CCUGUCUGAGUGUCGUGUAGACUCGACCGCCCGGGUUUCCGGGCGGACGGACUUGGGCGUUGCCUCUGGCUCGCCUCAAAAGCAUUAGCGGUGAGAUGACUAGCCGGCGAAUCAAGUGUUCCGUCUGCGACCCGUCCCCACGCUCAGAAACACACCGAACCUUUGACCUCAGAUCAGGUAGGACUACCCGCUGAACUUAA